CCUACGGGAAGCAGCAGUGGGGAAUAUUGCACAAUGGGGGAAACCCUGAUGCAGCGACGCCGCGUGAGUGAAGCAGUAAUUCGUUAUGUACAGCUCUAUCAGCAGGGAAGAAAAUGACGGUACCUGAGUAAGAAGCCCCGGCUAACUACGUGCCAGCAGCCGCGGUAAUACGUAGGGGGCAAGCGUUAUCCGGAUUUACUGGGUGUAAAGGGAGCGUAGACGGCAGUGCAAGUCUGGAGUGAAAGGCGGGGGCGCAACCCCCGGACUGCUCUGGAAACUGGACGGCUGGAGUGCAGGAGAGGUAAGUGGAAGUCCUAGUGUAGCGGUGAAAUGCGUAGAUAUUAGGAGGAACACCAGUGGCGAAGGCGGCUUACUGGACUGUAACUGACGUUGAGGCUCGAAAGCGUGGGGAGCAAACAGGAUUAGAUACCCCAGUAGUC
RNAcentral lists this ribosomal RNA (440 nucleotides) under uncultured bacterium. Its description in RNAcentral is "partial 16S ribosomal RNA". It matches the Rfam family "Bacterial small subunit ribosomal RNA", at positions 338 to 795 of the family's 1533-position model. The record is from RNAcentral.